AUGCAGUCGAGCGCGAACGUCCCUUCGGGGGCUAUUAGAGCGGCGAACGGGUGAGUAGCAGGUGGAUAACCUGCCCUCUGGUGGGGGAUAACCGCGGGAAACUGCGGCUAAUACCGCAUGUGGUUCUACCGACCCCGGUCGGUGGAAAGAAAGGCGCUCCUGGCGCCACCAGAGGAUGGGUCCGCCCCCCAUUAGCUAGUUGGUGGGAUAAUAGCCCACCAAGGCGACGAUGGGUAGCCGAGCUGAGAGGUUGAUCGGCCACACUGGGACUGAGACACGGCCCAGACACCUACGGGUGGCAGCAGUAGGGAAUAUUGGACAAUGGGCGAAAGCCUGAUCCAGCCAUGCCGCGUGAGUGAUGAAGGCCUUCGGGUCGUAAAGCUCUUUUCUGAGGGAAGAACAGCCUGGUGAGGAAAUGCUCCAGGUCUGACGGUACCUCAGGAAUAAGGAACGGCUAACUCCGUGCCAGCAGCCGCGGUAAUACGGAGGUUCCUAGCGUUGUUCGGAAUUACUGGGCGUAAAGGGGGCGCAGGCGGAUAGGUCAGUCUAAAGUGGAAUCCCGGGGCUCAACCUCGGACGUGCUUUGGAUACUGCCUAUCUUGAGUUCGUGAGAGGAAGGUGGAAUUCAGGGUGUAGCGGUGAAAUGCUUAGAUAUCCUGAGGAACACCAGUGGCGAAAGCGACCUUCUGGCACGAAACUGACGCUGAGGCCCGAAAGCGUGGGUAGCGAACAGGAUUAGAUACCCUGGUAGUCCACGCCGUAAACGUUGUGCACUAGGUG
This 780-nucleotide ribosomal RNA is filed under the name uncultured bacterium. RNAcentral's name for it is "bacterial SSU rRNA". It matches the Rfam family "Bacterial small subunit ribosomal RNA", at positions 55 to 822 of the family's 1533-position model. The record is from RNAcentral.